Molecule: long non-coding RNA, 137 nt
Organism: Sander lucioperca (pikeperch)
Lineage: Eukaryota; Metazoa; Chordata; Actinopteri; Perciformes; Percidae
Exons: 4
Source: RefSeq, a predicted model, not a curated record
ACUCUACUCGCCUUUUUUGGAAAAAAAGUACCUGGUACCUGCUAACAGGUACUUUUUUUAGUACCUCCUCAGUCGAGGUUCCAAGCGAGCUGAGGUGAGCCGAAACGGUGACGCGAAAACCUGCAGGCUGGUGACUG